AUGCAGUAUAUCCACUUUCUUCUAUCUAUUUUAAGUAUUAUUGUGGGUCUGCAGUAUGAAUCACUACAUGCUGGAGAAGUUCCUGGAGGCGAUCAGGAGCAGAGGCAUCAAGAUAUGCCCUGGGUGCAAUGCCUCGCAGGCUGUAGCACCUGCCUAGUUAUGCAUAUGUCGGCAAGACAAGUUUUGCCUGCUCUGCUUCAUAUCAGUCUCUUCUGA
RNAcentral lists this ribosomal RNA (216 nucleotides) under Triticum aestivum (bread wheat). Its description in RNAcentral is "partial small subunit ribosomal RNA". The record is from RNAcentral. Lineage: Eukaryota; Viridiplantae; Streptophyta; Magnoliopsida; Poales; Poaceae.